This is a long non-coding RNA of Poecilia reticulata (guppy), 245 nucleotides long. RefSeq lists it as uncharacterized. Lineage: Eukaryota; Metazoa; Chordata; Actinopteri; Cyprinodontiformes; Poeciliidae. The record is from RefSeq and is a predicted model, not a curated record.
UUUUCAGUCAAUCACAUUAACCCAUUCCAACAGCACUGUAGCUUCGACGAAUCCCAGAGUUUAGUCCUCGGCCUGGCUUCUGGCAGCGGAAUCUGAGGCAUGAAAUCCUACAUCCUGUGAAAGAACCUGAUCCACCAGGACUCCGUCCUCCAUGGACCAUCCAUGUCUAUUUUAAAGGAUUCCCAGACCUUUUGGGAUGCUGAACAUGUUUGUUUUGAACAUUUUAAUAAAGAACUGAAGUACUG